Molecule: long non-coding RNA, 452 nt
Organism: Haliotis rubra (blacklip abalone)
Lineage: Eukaryota; Metazoa; Mollusca; Gastropoda; Lepetellida; Haliotidae
Exons: 3
Source: RefSeq, a predicted model, not a curated record
UGGCUGUUUGACCACAAGGUCCCAUGGUCAGCUGGCUGUUUGACCACAAGGUCCGAUGGUCAGCUGGGUGUUUGACCGCAAGGUCCAAUGGUCAGCUGUUUGACCACAAGGUCCCAUGGUCAGCUGGCUGUUUGACCGCAAGGUCCCAUGGUCAGCUGUCUGACCACAAGGUCCCAUGGUCAGCUGUUUGUCCACAAGGUCCCAUGGUAAGCUGUUUGACCACAAGGUCCCAUGGUCAGCUGGCUGUUUGACCACAAGGUCCCAUGGUCAGCUGUUUGACCACAAGGUCCCGUGGUCAGCUGUUUGACCACAAGGUCCCAGGGUCAGCUGUUUGACCACAAGAUCCCAUGGUCAUCUGACUGUUUGAGCACGAGGUCCCAUGGUCAGCUGUUUGACCACAAGGUCCCAUGGUCAGCUGUUUGACCACAAGGUCCCAUGGUCAGCUGUUUGAC